UAAUACGGAGGAUCCAAGCGUUAUCCGGAAUCAUUGGGUUUAAAGGGUCCGUAGGCGGUUUGGUAAGUCAGUGGUGAAAGCCCAUCGCUCAACGGUGGAACGGCCAUUGAUACUGCCAGACUUGAAUUAUUAGGAAGUAACUAGAAUAUGUAGUGUAGCGGUGAAAUGCUUAGAGAUUACAUGGAAUACCAAUUGCGAAGGCAGGUUACUACUAAUGGAUUGACGCUGAUGGACGAAAGCGUGGGUAGCGAACAGG
Molecule: ribosomal RNA, 256 nt
Filed under: uncultured prokaryote
Description: partial 16S ribosomal RNA
Rfam family: Bacterial small subunit ribosomal RNA
Source: RNAcentral